This is a long non-coding RNA of Folsomia candida, 1171 nucleotides long. RefSeq lists it as uncharacterized. The record is from RefSeq and is a predicted model, not a curated record. Lineage: Eukaryota; Metazoa; Arthropoda; Collembola; Entomobryomorpha; Isotomidae. The transcript has 3 exons.
ACUGCUUGCAAAUUUUUGGGAAAUUUUAGGAAAACAUGGAAUACAGAAUGGGCCCAUUUCUCGUCCUAUUUGCAAUUGUCUUCGUCGGCACGGCCAGCGGUCAAAGUACCACGUGUAGGGACAAGUGUUGGCAAUACUUGCAAUGCAAGAACAGCUGGUACAACUACUUCAACCAGCCAGGCGCUGGAGUCAUUGUGCACUAAGCCGAUUGGUUGCGCGUGUGCUUGCAUGACGGGGAAUGGGGUCUCCUCCGCUGCGACAACUGUAAAUGCAAGCCAGGCUGGCUCUUGUGGAAAAGAUUGUUCUGCCUACCUUUCUUGUAAAUAUUCCUGGGAAAUUUAUCACGGAAAACCGGAAGUGGUCGCGUGGGCGUGCAAAGACCCGGCGGGUUGUGCUUGUGGCUCAUUGGCCCAUUUCAGGCUUCGGGUUAAGCUUUUCACAGGUAGGUACAUUUUUUUUCGAACUCAUCGUCGCUUGGGACUUGGUCCAUGGGGUCUCCUCUUUACAAUUCAUGCGCUAAUUUGGAUCUCACAAUGACCCUUGCUGUCGGAGGUCAAAUUUUGGAGUGCCAUCCCACGAUUUUGGAUUUCCUUUGAAGCAAUAUUUAAGUCAAUUCGCUUAGAUUUGACUGUUGGCCGUCCCGAUUUAGGCUUAUUUGGUCUCGCUCGCGGAGAUUUACAAUAAUUUGUUAUCACAAUGGUCAACUCCCGAUUUUUUCCCAUUGUUUAGUUUUUUCUGCAAGUAGAGUAUGAUGAAUGAUGAAUGUAAUAAUGAUGAAUGUAUGAUGAAUGUAAAUAAUUGCUAAACCCUUGCCUUAACCCCCCUUCGUUAUGAAGUAAUUUUUAAUAAGAAGCGGGUUUAAACUUUUGCAACUAAUUUUUGUGUGUUUUUUCCUGGUAUGAUUAAUUACGCAUACCCGUUAGCUUUUUCAUAACCAAAUGUAGUACCGUUGGAAAGCCAGUUAAAUUCUGUACAACAUACACCUAAACCCGAUGGCUGAAUAAAAUCUACUGAUAAGCUUGAGCUAUCGGGGCGCGCAGCAUAUGAGUGGGUUUAAAUUUAUGCCCUGGUGCUGUAUAUUCCAGUAAUAAUGUAUAGACAAGAGACAAAAUUUGUUUGCUCAAAGAAAUUUAAGAGUAAAUUACACAGAACUUUAUAUUAAGGAAUGCAA